AGAUUUUCUCGACCUUUUGGCUCAGAUCAAGUGUAGUAUCUGUUAUUAUCAGUUUUCAUUGUCUUUUAGUUGUGAAUCCUAAGUAAAACAUCACUUGUGGAAACUGGUGCUGUGGUGUAACUGAUAAAGCCUCAGUCUGCAAUGCUGGCAUCCCAU
Oryctolagus cuniculus (rabbit) is the source of this 156-nucleotide small nuclear RNA. Its record names the gene U2. It matches the Rfam family "U2 spliceosomal RNA". Rfam says of the family: U2 is a small nuclear RNA (snRNA) component of the spliceosome (involved in pre-mRNA splicing). Complementary binding between U2 snRNA (in an area lying towards the 5' end but 3' to hairpin I) and the branchpoint sequence (BPS) of the intron results the bulging out of an unpaired adenosine, on the BPS, which initiates a nucleophilic attack at the intronic 5' splice site, thus starting the first of two transesterification reactions that mediate splicing. The record is from Ensembl. Lineage: Eukaryota; Metazoa; Chordata; Mammalia; Lagomorpha; Leporidae.